RNAcentral lists this long non-coding RNA (719 nucleotides) under Lathyrus oleraceus (garden pea). RNAcentral's name for it is "Pisum sativum (pea) long non-coding RNA (PSAT_LNC036549)". Lineage: Eukaryota; Viridiplantae; Streptophyta; Magnoliopsida; Fabales; Fabaceae. The record is from RNAcentral.
CGUUUCCUCUCGGAUCCACCCUGUUUUCCAUGUGUCUCUCCUCAAGCUUUGUCACGGCCAACCAGUUACUCAGGUCUCCCCCCUUCCCGAUCCGAUAGCUUUUCCGCCUCAAGAACUGACCCCAAUUGCUGUGCUAGCUCACAAACCUCUGCAUGGUGAAAUCAAAGAAGUACUGAUUCAAUGGGACGGCAUUCCAAUUUCCGAAGCAACUUGGGAACAGAAGUCACUGUUUCAAGCAAAGUACCCUCACUUUAAUCUUGAGGACAAGAUUUGUCUCAAUGGGUACGGUAAUGUUACAAACCAAAUGGGUCCCAACAACACAAACAAAGAAAAAAAUAAAACAGACAACAGCAGCUCCAAUAUUGUGCCAAGAGAAAGGCCCAAAAGAUCAGCCCAAUUGCCCAUUAGGUUCAGAAUGUGAACAAAUAUCUUGAGGUGAUAAGCUUGUGAGCUGUCAUAGUACUAUCUCCAGCCUUUAUUACCGUUAGUACCUGGCAAUAUUUAGGAUAAGAAUAAUUUAGUUUCUCUUCUUCAAAUGCAGUAGAUGCUGACAAGUGUCUCUAGAUCCUAUAAUUAAGCCACAAUUGUAUUCCUUGCAGUGUAUUUAAGGACACAAAAAGUAAUGAAAAAGGCAGAAAAUUAUUAUCCUAAAAUCUUUCUUUUCUCUCAGACUUUCCCUGACACAGGGAAUUUAAUUCCUGCAUAUUUUUCCUAACAUU